UAGGCGACCGGCGCACGGGCGAGUAACACGUAUCCAACCUGCCGAUAACUCGGGGAUAGCCUUUCGAAAGAAAGAUUAAUAUCCGAUAGCAUAUUGAGAUCGCAUGAUUUUGAUAUUAAAGAAUUUCGGUUAUCGAUGGGGAUGCGUUCCAUUAGUUUGUUGGCGGGGUAACGGCCCACCAAGACUACGAUGGAUAGGGGUUCUGAGAGGAAGGUCCCCCACAUUGGAACUGAGACACGGUCCAA
Molecule: ribosomal RNA, 245 nt
Filed under: uncultured bacterium
Lineage: Bacteria
Description: partial 16S ribosomal RNA
Rfam family: Bacterial small subunit ribosomal RNA
Source: RNAcentral